GGCCUCGUGGCCUAAUGGCAUGGCGUUAGAUUUCGGUUAUCAAUCAAUCAAUCAAAAAAGUUGAAUUACGAGGCUUUGAAAAAACAUGAAAAGCUAAAAUAACUGGUUCUCUAAAGAUUGUCGGUUCGAAUCCGGCCGAGGUCG
RNAcentral lists this transfer RNA (144 nucleotides) under Rosellinia necatrix. It matches the Rfam family "tRNA". Rfam says of the family: Transfer RNA (tRNA) molecules are approximately 80 nucleotides in length. The record is from Rfam by way of RNAcentral. Lineage: Eukaryota; Fungi; Ascomycota; Sordariomycetes; Xylariales; Xylariaceae.